RNAcentral lists this long non-coding RNA (1591 nucleotides) under Gorilla gorilla gorilla (western lowland gorilla). Its description in RNAcentral is "lncRNA (ENSGGOG00000044548.1)". Lineage: Eukaryota; Metazoa; Chordata; Mammalia; Primates; Hominidae. The record is from RNAcentral.
CAUCUCGUAUCUUCUCAUCUCAUUUCAAUUUCAUUUCAUUAUUUCAUUUCAUUAUUUCAUGUGAUGUCAUCUCAUCAUUUCAUCUCAUCACAUCUCAUUUCAUCAUUUUAUUUCAUCAUCUCAUCUUAUCAUUUCAUCUCAUCUCAUUUCAAUUUUAUUUCAAUUUCAUUUCAUUAUUUCAUUUCAUUUCAUCUCAUCAGUUCAUCUCACCAUUUCAUUUCAUCUCAUCUCAUCAUUUCAUCAUUCAUCUCAUCAUUUCAUCUCAUCAUUCAUCUCAUUUCAUAUCAUCAUUUUAUCUCAUCUCAUCAUUUCAUCUCAUUUCAUUCCAUCAUUACAUCUCAUUUCAUCUCAUUUUAUGUCAACAUUUCAUGUCAUCAUUUCAUCACAUCUCAUCAUUUCAUCUCAUUUCAACUCAUUGCAUCUCAUCUCAUCAUUUCCGUUUCAUUAUUCCAUUUCAUCAUUUCAUUCAUUACGUCAUUUCAUCUCAUCAUAUUUCAUCUCAUCUCAUUUUAUCUCAUCUCAUUUCAUCUCAUCAUUUCUUCUCAUCUCAUCAUUUCCAUUUCAUUUUCAUUUCAUUAUUUCAUCAUUUCAUUAUUUCAUUUCAUCUCAUUUCAUUAUUUCAUUUCAUUAUGUCAUUUCAUUUCAUCUCAUUACAUUUCAUCUCAUUUCAUCUCAUCAUUUCAUCCAUCAUUUCAUUUCAUCAUUUCAUCUCAUGAUUUCAUCUCAUCUCAUCUCAUUAUCUCAUUUCAUCUCAUUAUUUCAUCUCAUUUCAUCAUUUCAUUUCAUCAUUACAUCUCAUCAUUUCAACUCAUCUCAUUUCAAUUUCAUUUCAAUUUCAUCAUUACAUUUCAUAAUUUCCUUUCAUUAUUUCAUUUCAUUUAAUCUCAUUUUUCAUCUCAUCAUUUUUCAUCUCAUUUCAUCUCAUCAUUUCAUCUCAUCGUUCAUCUCAUUUCAUCUCAUCAUUUUAUCUCAUUAUUUCAUCUCAUCUCAUGUCAUUUCAAUUUCAUUAUUUCAUAUCAUUUCAUUAUUUCAUUUCAUUUCAUCUCAUCAUUUCUUCUCAUUUCAUCUCGUUUCAUCUCAUCAUUUCAUCCAUCAUCUCAUUUCAUCUCAUCUCAUCUCCUUUCAAUUUCUUUUCAAUUUUGUCAUUUUAUCUCAUCAUUUCAUCUCACCAUUUCAUCUCAAAAUUUCAUCUCAUCAUUUCAUCUCAGCAUUUCAUCAUUUCAUCUCAUCAUUUCAUCUCAUCUCAAGUAAUCUUAUCAUUUCAUCUAAGUGAAAUGAUGUAAUGGAAUCAUGAAAUGAAAUGGAUAGGUUGCCCUCAGUGAUGUUAAAUUUAAAAAUUGUUUGCUUUCAUGUAUUCAUUUUUAUAUUUAUAUGUAUUUAUAUUUAUAUUUACUUAUAUUUCUUUUUACUUAUUUUUAUUUAUAUUUUUACUUAUUUAUUGGUAGACAAGGUCCUGUUCUGUGGCCUAGGCUGGAAUGCAGUGGUGCAUUCACAGUUCACUGCAGCCUCGAGCAAACCUCCCACCUUAGCCUCCCAGGUAGCUGGGACCCCAGGUGCGCACCACCACACCUGGUUAAUAUUUUAUUAUUUG